UGUGCUGGACUCAGGCACCCAGUGUCAGGACCAGGGCCUAGGCUCUUCUCCAGAUGGCAGUCGUAGGUAGCAAACACGAGGUACAUAUUACACUUUGUAUAAGUUUAAGAAGUCUUAGUUUUGGGGGCUGAAGAGAUGGCUCAGCGGUUAAGAGCAUUGCCUGCUCUUCCAAAGGUCCUGAGUUCAAUUCCUAGCAACCACAUGGUGGCUCACAACCAUCUGUAAUGGGGUCUGGUGCCCACUUCUGGCCUGUAGGCAUACACAUAGACAGAAUAUUGUAUAAAUAAAUAAAUAAAUAAAUAUUUAAAAAAAAAAAAAAAGCUCUGGCUGUUCUUCCAGAGGACCUGGGUUCAAUUCCCAGCAACCACAUGGCAGCUCACAACUGUCUAUAAUCCCAGUUUCAGGGGAUCUGACAUCCUCACCUCACACAAAUUGCACAUAAAAAUAAAUAAAACUGUGAAAAAAGAAUAUAUUAAAGAAAUAGGAAAUCUUAGUUUUCAAAAGGCUGAGAGGAUGUGGUUCAGUGUUCCACACAGACUGACUUGAUGUAUCUCUAUUAGGUACCUCUGAGCAGACAAAGGCAGGAGUGUCAGCGGGUUGACAGGUGCCUGGUGCUACCUAGAGCUCAUACUAAUUUUCCCCUUUGCUUUAAGGCAUGCAGCUACAAAAGGCAUUCUUGUGGCUAUGGUCUGCACCUUCUUCGAGGCUUUCAACGUCCCCGUGUUCUGGCCGAUCCUGGUGAUGUACUUCAUCAUGCUUUUCUGUAUCACAAUGAAGAGGCAAAUAAAGCACAUGAUUAAAUACCGGUACAUACCAUUCACACACGGAAAGAGGAGAUACAAAGGGAAGGAGGACGUGGGCAAGACAUUUGCUAGUUAGAAGCCGGACUGAAUCUGUCACGCGUGUUCAAGGACGGUUUUGAGCCAUUGUAACAAUGCCUUUUCUUCACAUAAAGUAGUUGAUUAUGAGGAAGUGGAAUUUUCUUUUCAAGAGGAGCUUCAAUGAUUUGUAUCUGAAAUAUCAGGUUCUUGAAGAAACUGGCAUUUAAACCAAAUUGCAUUGAUUUCUUUUUCAGUGAUGUUCAUGUGUUUGAAGUGAACAGAAUUGUAGUGAACCAGAGGCUUGGGAGGCCAGGAGAGUGGCAGACCAAGAGAGGGGGAGGGAGGAUGGGAGUGUAGCCUUGCCUUCCUGACCACGCUGAGGCCGCUCCUCUGCGCCAGAGGGACAUGCCAGCCUGCUUCCUACAUGUGAAAAAGAAUGUAACCCUUUGAGGGUGACUCCCAGCAGCUUCGUGGGGUUCUCAUGCCAGUUUCUGAAUCUCACUCACUAGAGAUGGUUUUCAAGUUGGCCUCUAUGAUAAUGACUCAAAACUUUGUUCUUAACUACCAUGAUUGCUUUUGAAGGCCUGGAAUUAUAAAUAUAUAUUAUAUUUUAA
Alexandromys fortis (reed vole) is the source of this 1435-nucleotide long non-coding RNA. RefSeq lists it as uncharacterized. NCBI's taxonomy places the organism in Eukaryota, Metazoa, Chordata, Mammalia, Rodentia, Cricetidae. The transcript is spliced from 2 exons. The record is from RefSeq and is a predicted model, not a curated record.